Molecule: transfer RNA, 76 nt
Filed under: Bathymodiolus heckerae thiotrophic gill symbiont
Lineage: Bacteria
Description: tRNA-Thr-TGT
Rfam family: tRNA
About the family: Transfer RNA (tRNA) molecules are approximately 80 nucleotides in length.
Source: RNAcentral
GACGAAUUGGUACAGUUGGGACUGCAACUGAUUUGUAAUCAGUAGGUAACCAGUUCGAGUCCGGUCUUCGGCACCA